This 838-nucleotide long non-coding RNA is filed under the name Homo sapiens (human). Its description in RNAcentral is "HSALNT0393733". The record is from RNAcentral. Lineage: Eukaryota; Metazoa; Chordata; Mammalia; Primates; Hominidae.
ACACAUCUAACCACUCUUCAGCUGAUAUCCACUUGCUGACAAAUGAAUCUCUCUGGCCCCUGGACUGUGCCCUGAAACACAGCUUAAAACAGCAGAAUGAACAGUAAUCCCAGAGAUCCUGAGAUGAGAAAAGGGUGUUUGACUUAUUCAAAGAAGACCAAGGAAGCCCAAAGACCAGAGAAGAGUGCAGGAAAGGGGCGGCGGUCUGAGAUGCAGUCAGAGCAGUGGCAAGCCCCCAGAGUCUGUGGCAAAGACUUCAGGUUUCAUCCUGAAGAGGAAGACAGGUCUUUGGAGAGUUUUGAUCAAGGAAGUGAGAUGAAAUAUCUUAGGCUUACAAAGAACUACUCUGACAUCUAAAUGGAAAAUGGACUGAUGAAGCAAAAGAAGCCACAAGGAAGCCAGUUCAGAGGCUAUUGAAAUGCUCCAGAUACUCAGAGAGUGAGAGCCUUCAGAUUUGGGUGAGUGAUGCCAUUAGAACCAAGAUUUCUUCCAUUCUUCUGCUCUAUCAUUCUCAGCACAACAUGCUUUUCUCAUUAAGGCUGUAGAAGAUGGCAAGUGCUGUGGACUUCAAAGAAAAGAUUUCUGAAGUGUCAUGUUAUGACAAUUGUGAUGCUUCAAACUAUGUUGACUAUUCAUUUACAGCAUAAAGAAGAGUGAGCCACUUUAUCACUGCAGUAAUUAUAUUUUAAAAAUAAAGAAAAUAAAACAAAUGGAGUUUCCCACCCAAUCCAUGGAGACACAGACACGAAGUCUUACUAUAGAUGUGUGGCCAAUCCUUACAUUGCUUUUAUUACAAGCCUGGAAAUGACAAUAAAAUACAUGAACUUGAGAGUAUAUA